This is a long non-coding RNA of Mastomys coucha (southern multimammate mouse), 1521 nucleotides long. RefSeq lists it as uncharacterized. The record is from RefSeq and is a predicted model, not a curated record. The transcript has 3 exons. Lineage: Eukaryota; Metazoa; Chordata; Mammalia; Rodentia; Muridae.
CUCUCUCUCUUUAAUUAAGAGAAUACAUUUAUCUUAUCCUUACUUCCUAGGCAACCCCGGUGCUUCUAGUCCACUAAAGAACUCUGGGUUGCUUCUAAAGAAAUGUAAAUCACAACCACCACCGUACUGCCUGCGUUGCGUCUGGUACUACGGAUUACGGGUCAGAGCUGCGGGACCGGACUGUGAACUGCUGCCCUCGGGAACUGCGAACCACCCGAGAGCAAGAGGGAGACCAGAUGUGGCAGAAGCUGGGCAGUCGUCCCCUCCCACACAUUAACAUUAAUCCCGAGAGGGCAAGAAAGGGAUUGCUGAAGAUGUUUGAAAAAAGAAAAAACCGUUCUGGGGCAUCAUGGGUGAUUCUUCCAAACCAGGAAUUCGGACUGGAGCCAAUAACGCGGAAACAUAUAUAGGGUCGGGCCUGGAACUCAGCAGAGAGGCAUCCUUUCCCACCACGUCCCACACUGGAGGCCGCCCGAGUACCAUCUCACGACUGAGGGUCUUGACAACUGUGGAGGCCCCACUGCGGCCUGCAGCCCUGCCCUGUCGGAUGAAUGGCGUGACUGUGGACGCAAAGGCUCCCUAGGAAGCUUGCUGCCUAGGGGGACUUAUGAGUGGGCCUCUGUCCCCUAGGCCGGUGGAAGUCACCACAAGAGAGGAGUUCUGACAAAGAGGCGCGCCUCUGCAGGCCUGCUGGAUGCUCAACCUAAGGCUGCGUCCACGCAAGCCGACCAGGGCAGAAUGUGUGCAUGGACCCACAUAGAACAAAACAGAGCAUGGCUCUGUGGUGAUGGAGUGAUUUCGCACCCCCUUAACCGAGAGGACCUGGGGUUAGCUGCACGUGGCAGGGACCCGAGUGGAUAACUGCUCUGACCUCCCCAGGGGAGCAGCAGGGUGGUUUGCCCGGAGUUCGCACGUGAGGCCGGAGGGCGGGUGCUCCUGAGGAGCAAGGACACGUGGGCACCAGCGUGGGCAGCGGGCACACUCGGGCAUGGCUGGGGCCGGGCCGCCAGGGGGCACCCCACACAUUCUCCAUUUCUCCCUAGGUUGGGAACCUCCUAGAGGGUCCAGAGCCCGUGAGACACGGAGCCCGCUCACUGCCUCUUUGGCCGUGUAGUUUGUCACAGGAGUUGCCACAUUCCUGUGGUACCUGUGGUGGACUCUCAAGUUGUCUCAUAGGCCCCAUUCCCCAGCUUCCCGCGAAAUCCUGGCUGUGCUCUGGGGUCCCCAACUCCUCUGCCCAUUCUCUGGGGUCAGGCUCCUGGAGACAAAGGAGAGCAAGCAUCUUUAACCACAAGAGCGAGGCAAGUGCCACCGCCUAGGGAUGGUAGAGCGACACCCCUGCAGCCACCCCAGUGGCCCCAACAGCUAAAGGUUCCACCUUGCUUUUCCCAGCCCAAGCACAAAACACCUAGCAGGUAGGCAUUACUACACCAGGGUGGGUGUGUGGCCUGCCACCCUGCUCCUCUCCAGGGCUCAUUCUGUACACAAUGAUGCCAUUUUCCAACCUUACCGCACAGGGAG